UACGUAGGGUGCGAGCGUUGUCCGGAAUUAUUGGGCGUAAAGAGCUUGUAGGCAGUUUGUCGCGUCUGCCGUGAAAUUUCGGGGCUCAACCCCGAACUUGCGGUGGGUACGGGCAGACUAGAGUGUGGUAGGGGAGACUGGAAUUCCUGGUGUAGCGGUGAAAUGCGCAGAUAUCAGGAGGAACACCGAUGGCGAAGGCAGGUCUCUGGGCCACUACUGACGCUGAGAAGCGAAAGCAUGGGGAGCGAACAGG
RNAcentral lists this ribosomal RNA (253 nucleotides) under uncultured bacterium. RNAcentral's name for it is "partial 16S ribosomal RNA". It matches the Rfam family "Bacterial small subunit ribosomal RNA", at positions 524 to 776 of the family's 1533-position model. The record is from RNAcentral.